GACGGAGGAGGCAAGCAUUGUCCGGAAUUAUUGGGCGUAAAGAACACGUAGGCGGUUUAUCAAGUCAUAUGUGAAAACCUUGGGCUUAACUUAAGGAUUGCAUAUGAUACUGGUAAACUAGAGUAUAGUAGAGGAAAGCGGAAUUCCUGGUGUAGCGGUGAAAUGCGCAGAUAUCAGGAAGAACACCAGUGGCGAAAGCGGCUUUCUGGACUGUUACUGACGCUGAGGUGUGAAAGCUAGGGGAGCGAACAGGAUUAGAUACCCU
Molecule: ribosomal RNA, 265 nt
Filed under: uncultured prokaryote
Description: partial 16S ribosomal RNA
Rfam family: Bacterial small subunit ribosomal RNA
Source: RNAcentral